This 423-nucleotide ribosomal RNA is filed under the name Anomaloglossus baeobatrachus group sp. ABGD cluster 4. Its description in RNAcentral is "partial large subunit ribosomal RNA". It matches the Rfam family "Bacterial large subunit ribosomal RNA", at positions 1816 to 2461 of the family's 2925-position model. Lineage: Eukaryota; Metazoa; Chordata; Amphibia; Anura; Aromobatidae. RNAcentral also lists the same sequence under 1 other name. The record is from RNAcentral.
GCCUCUUGAUUAAACCAUAAGAGGUCCAGCCUGCCCAGUGACAUUGUUCAACGGCCGCGGUAUCCUAACCGUGCGAAGGUAGCGUAAUCACUUGUCCUUUAAAUGAAGACUAGUAUGAAUGGCCCCACGAAAGCUAUACUGUCUCCUUUUUCUAAUCAGUUAAACUAAUCUCCCCGUGAAGAAGCGGGGAUAAACAUAUAAGACGAGAAGACCCUAUGGAGCUUUAAACAACUGAAACACUUGUAUACCUCCCUUCACCUACCCACAUUUAACUCCACAUCUUGUUUCUAGUUUUAGGUUGGGGUGACCACGGAGAAAAAACUAACCUCCACGAUGAAAGAGACAUCUCUAAACAAAAAGACACAUCUUUAUGUAUUAAUAUAUUAACCUUUAUUGACCCAAUAAAUUGAUCAACGAACCAAG